RNAcentral lists this ribosomal RNA (403 nucleotides) under uncultured bacterium. RNAcentral's name for it is "bacterial SSU rRNA". It matches the Rfam family "Bacterial small subunit ribosomal RNA", at positions 30 to 418 of the family's 1533-position model. The record is from RNAcentral.
AGUGAACGCUGGCGGCAGGCCUAACACAUGCAAGUCGAGCGGCAGCGCGUCCGACCACCCUCGGGUGGUCGGAUGGCGGCGAGCGGCGGACGGGUGAGGAAUGCAUCGGAAUCUGCCUCGUUGUGGGGGAUAACGUAGGGAAACUUACGCUAAUACCGCAUACGACCUACGGGUGAAAGUGGGGGACCUUCGGGCCUCACGCGAUGAGAUGAGCCGAUGCCGGAUUAGCUAGUUGGCGGGGGUAAAGGCCCACCAAGGCGACGAUCCGUAGCUGGUCUGAGAGGAUGAUCAGCCACACUGGAACUGAGACACGGUCCAGACUCCUACGGGAGGCAGCAGUGGGGAAUAUUGGACAAUGGGGGCAACCCUGAUCCAGCCAUGCCGCGUGUGUGAAGAAGGCCUU